CUUUCGCCACACCUAUCCUGAAAG
This 24-nucleotide microRNA is filed under the name Human betaherpesvirus 5. RNAcentral describes it as "hcmv-miR-US5-2-5p". Its record names the gene hcmv-miR-US5-2-5p. Lineage: Duplodnaviria; Heunggongvirae; Peploviricota; Herviviricetes; Herpesvirales; Orthoherpesviridae. The record is from miRBase by way of RNAcentral.